AUUCAGCAAUGUUUUAAUACAGAACAGUCUGCCAUUCGCUGGUUGGAUGAUGGCUAAUGGGCAACGAUAUCAGACGGAAAAGUUCCAGGUUAAUGAUGCUUCGUGUUGACGACUAAAAAGUGAUCCCGGUUCUCGAUCCAAGCAACAACAAAUACAUAUUUCCACAACAAUUUUCCAUCCACACCGCCGCCGUCCGUAGCUCCACAAUCCUUCAUUGACGCAUAUAAGGGAGCAACUAACAACCAUCGUGUAUGAUUCUUCGCACCUUCACCACGGUAGACGUGGCUACGGAGCUAUGCUGAAUGCCGCGGCCAGAUCAACGGCCCCAGCCAGACGGACGAAGAGAAACUGGACGUACUCUUCUUCACUCCGCUGCUUCCCGCCACUUCGUCAAGCCGCACGGGAUGACACGAUCUCAACCGUGGCCACAAUAAUGUAGCGGGCACAGAUUUAUAUUCAUAUUUUAUUUUUAUAAUGCAAAGACGGUGUUAGAUUGGGACAAGCACUCCGAAGAAGAUGACAACGCCGAGCGGGACGACGAUGACAACGAUUUGUAGCAUUUGGCCUGUUCGGUGACGUCGUCAGCGAAUGUGGGGCCGAAGCGGUAGCUGCCGGUAGCUUCCAGAGAAGGCACGACUGCAGCAGCCGCAUUUCCGG
Long non-coding RNA from Armigeres subalbatus, 657 nucleotides. RefSeq lists it as uncharacterized. NCBI's taxonomy places the organism in Eukaryota, Metazoa, Arthropoda, Insecta, Diptera, Culicidae. The record is from RefSeq and is a predicted model, not a curated record. The transcript has 3 exons.